This 986-nucleotide ribosomal RNA is filed under the name uncultured Pseudoalteromonas sp. Its description in RNAcentral is "bacterial SSU rRNA". It matches the Rfam family "Bacterial small subunit ribosomal RNA", at positions 97 to 1070 of the family's 1533-position model. The record is from RNAcentral. Lineage: Bacteria; Pseudomonadati; Pseudomonadota; Gammaproteobacteria; Alteromonadales; Pseudoalteromonadaceae.
GGCGGACGGGUGAGUAAUGCUUGGGAACAUGCCUUGAGGUGGGGGACAACAGUUGGAAACGACUGCUAAUACCGCAUAAUGUCUACGGACCAAAGGGGGCUUCGGCUCUCGCCUUUAGAUUGGCCCAAGUGGGAUUAGCUAGUUGGUGAGGUAAUGGCUCACCAAGGCGACGAUCCCUAGCUGGUUUGAGAGGAUGAUCAGCCACACUGGGACUGAGACACGGCCCAGACUCCUACGGGAGGCAGCAGUGGGGAAUAUUGCACAAUGGGCGCAAGCCUGAUGCAGCCAUGCCGCGUGUGUGAAGAAGGCCUUCGGGUUGUAAAGCACUUUCAGUCAGGAGGAAAGGUUAGUAGUUAGUACCUGCUAGCUGUGACGUUACUGACAGAAGAAGCACCGGCUAACUCCGUGCCAGCAGCCGCGGUAAUACGGAGGGUGCGAGCGUUAAUCGGAAUUACUGGGCGUAAAGCGUACGCAGGCGGUUUGUUAAGCGAGAUGUGAAAGCCCCGGGCUCAACCUGGGAACUGCAUUUCGAACUGGCAAACUAGAGUGUGAUAGAGGGUGGUAGAAUUUUCAGGUGUCGCGGUGAAAUGCGUAGAGAUCUGAAGGGAAUACCGACGGCGAAAGGCAGCCACCUGGGGUCAACACUGACGCUCAUGUACGNAAGCGUGGGGAGCAAACGGGGAUUAGAUACCCCGGUAGUCCACGCCGUAACCGAUGUCUACCUAGNAGCUCGGAGCCUCGGUUCUGUUUUUCCAAGCUNACGCAUUAAGUAGACCGCCUGGGGAGUCCCGCCCGCAANGCUAAACACUCAAAUUGAAUUGGACGGGGGGCCCCGCACNAGCCGGGUGAACCAUGUUGNUUNAUUCAGAUGCACGCGGAGAGCUUUACCUUACNCUUGGCACUAUCAGAGACUUACCAAGAAAUGGUUUUGGUGCCUUCGGACUCUGAUACAGUGCUGCAUGGCUGUCGUCAGCUCGUGUUUGUGA